UACGUAGGGUGCAAGCGUUGUCCGGAAUUACUGGGCGUAAAGCGUGCGCAGGCGGUGAUGUAAGACAGAUGUGAAAUCCCCGGGCUCAACCUGGGAACUGCAUUUGUGACUGCAUCGCUGGAGUGCGGCAGAGGGGGAUGGAAUUCCGCGUGUAGCAGUGAAAUGCGUAGAUAUGCGGAGGAACACCGAUGGCGAAGGCAAUCCCCUGGGCCUGCACUGACGCUCAUGCACGAAAGCGUGGGGAGCAAACAGG
RNAcentral lists this ribosomal RNA (253 nucleotides) under uncultured bacterium. RNAcentral describes it as "partial 16S ribosomal RNA". It matches the Rfam family "Bacterial small subunit ribosomal RNA", at positions 524 to 776 of the family's 1533-position model. The record is from RNAcentral.